Setaria italica (foxtail millet) is the source of this 2287-nucleotide long non-coding RNA. RefSeq lists it as uncharacterized. The record is from RefSeq and is a predicted model, not a curated record. The transcript has 4 exons. Lineage: Eukaryota; Viridiplantae; Streptophyta; Magnoliopsida; Poales; Poaceae.
UUUAGGCGAAGAAGGAAUGACGACGAGCGGGAGCAUCGGCCCAAAGAUGCUCCACAACUUCGUCUGUCAGGAGUGCCGUGAAGACGCCGUGUACCUCAUGUGUGAAUAAUGUGGAACAACGUUGUGCUGCCACUGGCACCGGGUUGCGGCGAAUUCCCCUGUGAUGGAGGCGGCUGUGCUUCCCUAAUAGCUGGGGAGAAGAUACGCUGUUUUGCAGCGAGGACUGCAGGCUACGCCAUGAGCUUGCUGCGUUCGAACGGAGAAUAGUUGACUAAUUCAGUCUUUGUAUAUCGAUAUGCAGCUAUGAAUUAUCGUUAUCUUUUGCGUUUGUUUUGCAACUUCUUAUUUUUUAUCAUUUGUAGGAUUAUGAUGUGUACGAUUAUCUUUAUGUGCGAGGACUACUCUCUCUAGAUAAGACAUGCUUUCUCCAACCUACAUUCAUGAAUAAUAACUGCACAAAUAUAGAUAAAAUUAUAGAUAGGUUUGUUCAAACCAAACAUGAGUGCAAAUUGUAGAUAGGUUUGUUGAAACCAAACGUGAGUGCAAAAAACUAUGAAAUCAAAAGGACAGGUGCAACCCACUACAUCCCGCCAAGGUUGUGCCUCAAAUUUUUAGUACUAGUGCAAUGUUUCCCUCCUACGUUUUUCCAAAUCCUCAAAUAUCUCAACCUCCUCCCCACUUGCCCCCAAAACAGCGGCUCCAUCCAUGGCAACUCCUACUGCAAAAAACUAUGAAAUCAACAGGAUAGGUGGGACCUACUACAUCCAGCCAAGGUUGUGCCUUAAAUUUUUAGUACUAGUGCAAUGUUUCCCUCCUACGUUUUCCAAAAUCCUCAAAUAUCUCAACCUCCUCCGUACUUGCCCCCAAAAUGGCAGCUCCAUCCAUGGCGACUUCUUCUCCUUCCAUGGUGACUCCUUCUCCUUACAUGGCCGGCGAUGGAGAAUAUUCUCGAGGGGACGACGGUUCCUCUCUACCCAAGAGACUCCAUCCAUGGCCGCUCCUCCUCCUUCCAUGGCCGGCGAUGAAGAACGGAGCACAUGACCACGUACGGCAGCUGCGUCAGGGGGGUGACGGUUCCUCUCUGCCCUAGCGACUCCAUCCAUGGAGACUCCUUCUCCUUCCAUGACUGGCGAUGCAGAACGGAGCACACGACCUAGUACGGUCGUAAUCGAGGAGGAGGCCGAGAUUGAAGACUGACGUUACAGGUUCGCAUCCACCUUUAACGUCUCAUAGGGUUAGGGCAGAAAAUAUCUAAAGAAUUAAUGCGUACAAUCGAUUUGAUGCUGCCUCAUUGGCGCAUGCUUUUAUAAAUCUCAGAGCUGAUUAGGACUGAUUAAUUUUUCGCAUAGCACUAGUAGUAUUGCAUCUUCAUUCAUUGAUGCGGGGUUUUGAUAUCUAUGUGCACAUACAGAUCAUGCGAGUUGACAGGUGAGUGGGAGGUAACGGUAGAUUGCUUCAGGGAAAAUGGACAAUUAGUGUGCCGGGUUAGGGCUAAAUUUGACAGGAAACAAGUAGACUUUGUCUGGUUGUUGAGUUUGAAAGAAGAACUUGGAUUUUGUCUGCAAGACUACUACUACUACAAGAAGAAAAUAGGAAAUGCUAGUGCAUUUGUCCUGCCAAUUGAUUCCACCAAAGAUGUAGAGUGCUUGCUUGAGAACAUGAAAUCAUCUGAAGAAAGGAAACUAAGGUUGAUAAUAUCAAAACAAGAAGUGGUUGAAGCUACCAACAUUACACCCCUGAAACGAAUAAGGGCAAAUGAGUCUGAUGAUGUUAGUGAUGCUCAUGAAGAUUCUAGUAAUGAUCGUGACAUUGAUGAAUACAAAUAUUGGCUUGAUGCCCAAGACCCAGGAUGUGGUCUAUACGAUGAAUACAGGGAUGAUACAGUAAAAGCAUACUCUAAAUGGUUAAGGCACAAAGGCCUUCUGAGAGAUAUUUAGGUCAAGCAAAGCCUACAGAAGUACGUGACGAAAGCAAUGGUAGUAGCGACACGCCACCACAAGAAUGGCCACCUCAUGCUAGGAAACCAAAGCAGACAAAAGGUGGCAAGAACGUUGGCUGAGGAUGCUUGAAAGGGCUAGCUGCGGUGGCCAAGAGAUCAAAGAGUGGCUUCGAGAAUAAACUGAAAAUCAAAUUUUCCGAAAAAGUGGGUGAUCCCUGUGGAGAUAAUAGACGUACCUUUGUGGAUGAGGUUGUUCUGUAUACAAAGCAGACUAAUUGGAGUUAGAAAUUGGAAAGAUGUGUGUUCAUCUGUCAAGGAGGAUAUCGCAAAAUCUGUAAUGGUAUGUCA